Molecule: ribosomal RNA, 370 nt
Filed under: uncultured eukaryote
Lineage: Eukaryota
Description: SSU rRNA
Rfam family: Eukaryotic small subunit ribosomal RNA
Source: RNAcentral
AGCUCCAAUGGCAUAUAUUAAAUUUGCUGCAGUUAAAAAGCUCGUAGUUGCAUUUCUUUUGGAAAAAGGAUGUCAGAUUUCCUGACCCUAUUUCCAAACCUUUGAAUGAUUUUUGCACUGCAUUAAGUUGUUAUGCAUAAGUUAUUCAUCAUUUACUGUGAGUAAAUCAGAGCGUUCAAAGCAAGUGUUUGCAUAUGAAUGUGACAGCAUGGAAUAAUAAUAUAAGAUUUUAAUACAGUUUGUUGGUACUUGUAUUGAAAACAUGAUGAAGAGGAACAAAUAGGGGUAUUUGUAUUCCAGUGUCAGAGGUGAAAUUCUUGGAUUGCUGGAAGACAAACGACUGCGAAAGCAUUUACCAAAAAUGUUUCCG